Molecule: ribosomal RNA, 468 nt
Filed under: uncultured bacterium
Lineage: Bacteria
Description: partial 16S ribosomal RNA
Rfam family: Bacterial small subunit ribosomal RNA
Source: RNAcentral
GACGAACGCUGGCGGCGUGCUUAACACAUGCAAGUCGAACGGAAAGGCCCUGCGUUUGUGUUGUUCUCGAUUGUCGAACGGGUGAGUAACACGUGAGUAACCUGCCCUUGACUUUGGGAUAACUUCAGGAAACUGGGGCUAAUACCGGAUAUAAGCUCCUGCUGCAUGGUGGGGGUUGGAAAGAUGCGGCGGUUGGGGUUGGACUCGCGGCUUAUCAGCUUGUUGGUGGGGUAGUGUCUUACCAAGGCUUUGACGGGUAGCCGGCCUGAGAGGGUGACCGGCACCAUUGGGACUGAGAUACGGCCCAGACUCCUACGGGAGGCAGCAGUGGGGAAUAUUGCACAAUGGGCGGAAGCCUGAUGCAGCAACGCCGCGUGCGGGAUGACGGCCUUCGGGUUGUAAACCGCUUUCGCCUGUGACGAAGCGUGAGUGACGGUAAUGGGUAAAGAAGCACCGGCUAACUACGUG